UUCUUAUUUGAAAGAGGGAGAGAGAGAGAUAAAUGAGGGACACACAAAUGCAUUCAGCGAUUUAAUUAGCAGUAGUAACGGUAAGAAUCAAUGGGCACUAAAUAUCCAUCCACCAAAGAACCAUAUAUAUAUACAUCGAAUUCACGCACCAUGUGCAUAUACCAAAAACAAAAAGAAAGAAGAGUCCAAGCACAAGCACUACUACUAUCAUCAUCAUCUAUGGCUUCAUCAUCCUGCUCCCCCGUCUUCAAGAUCCUUAUCGUCGUCGCUCUCGUCGCUGCUGCCCUUUCGUCCUACGGAGCGGCGGAGUACAUCUGCAUCCAGCCGUGCUGGGAGCUGCCGCACUGCGACGCCUGGUGCAGGGACGCCAAGUUCGCCAAGGGCGGCGACUGCGUCGACUUCGGCAGCGGCCUCACCUGCUGCUGCCGUCGGUAGCUAGGGUAGCUGCGCGCAUGCACAGAUGCAGGUGCCAGAGUGCCAGUGGAGAAUGGAGCGUCGGUCUCUCUCUCGUCUCGAUCGUGUAAGAUAAAUAUAUGGCAGAUGAUAAUGCACAAUACAAAUAAACGGGAGAAGAAAAAAAAUCCAAGGAUCUCGCAUGCGUUGUUUCCAUACACGGCAUGCCUGCCGAACGAUUAUGUUAUUAUAGUACUAGGUAUGUGCCCGUGGGUUGCCACGUACGCACAAUUACAUAAAAACAAACAUAUAUAUCCUUGGCAUCAAUAUACCACAAAUCAUUUGCACAACUGAA
Molecule: long non-coding RNA, 748 nt
Organism: Zea mays
Lineage: Eukaryota; Viridiplantae; Streptophyta; Magnoliopsida; Poales; Poaceae
Exons: 2
Source: RefSeq, a predicted model, not a curated record